This 473-nucleotide ribosomal RNA is filed under the name uncultured bacterium. RNAcentral describes it as "bacterial SSU rRNA". It matches the Rfam family "Bacterial small subunit ribosomal RNA", at positions 355 to 825 of the family's 1533-position model. The record is from RNAcentral.
UGGGGAAUUGUUCGCAAUGGGCGCAAGCCUGACGACGCAACGCCGCGUGGAGGAUGAAGACCUUCGGGUCGUAAACUCCUUUCGAUCGAGACGAAUGGCCUCCGGGUGAACAAUCCGGAGGAGUGACGGUACCGAGAGAAGAAGCACCGGCUAACUCCGUGCCAGCAGCCGCGGUAAUACGGAGGGUGCGAGCGUUAAUCGGAAUUACUGGGCGUAAAGCGUGCGUAGGCGGCCCGCCAAGCCAGAUGUGAAAGCCCUGGGCUCAACCUGGGAACGGCAUUUGGAACGGGCGGGCUAGAGUUGGGUAGAGGGGGGCGGAAUUCCGGGUGUAGCGGUGAAAUGCGUAGAUAUCCGGAGGAACACCAGUGGCGAAGGCGGCCCCCUGGACCCAAACUGACGCUGAGGUACGAAAGCGUGGGUAGCAAACAGGAUUAGAUACCCAAGUAGUCCCUGAGCGGGCUGGCAAGGCGCAU